UAAACUUUUUUAGAAUGGAGGUGAAAUUUAUAGAACAUAAAAAUAACAGUUUUAAAGUGUACAUUCCGUGGCAUUUAGUAAAUUCACAAUGUUGUACAACCAUCACCUCUGUCUAGUUCCAAAACUUUUCAUCAUUCCCAAAGAAGAUUCCAUGCCCAUUAUGCAGUCACUCCCUGUUCACCCCCAUUUUUGGUUGCAAGUACAAAUUUUAGUUCACACAUGAAAUUUUUUACCAAUUUUUAAAUGCAUAUAUAUAUAUAUAUGUAUGUAUGUAUGUAUGUAUGUAUGUAUUUUUGUUCUUUUUUUUUUUUUUGAGACGGUGUUUCUUUCUUGUUGCCCAGGCUGGAGUGUGAGCCACCAUGCCCAGCCAUAAUAUAUUUUUAGUUUGAAAUUUUCUUUAUUAUUAUUUGUUAUAAACUGUAAUUUUAUCAUCUCAUACUACAACAAACAUGUAGGUUUAAGUCUUCCCUGUUUUCAAAAGUCGUAUUAAUGUUAUAA
RNAcentral lists this long non-coding RNA (498 nucleotides) under Homo sapiens (human). Its description in RNAcentral is "non-protein coding lnc-QRSL1-4:1". The record is from RNAcentral. Lineage: Eukaryota; Metazoa; Chordata; Mammalia; Primates; Hominidae.